AAUGAACGUUGGCGGCGUGGAUUAGGCAUGCGAGUCGUGCGAGAACCGUAGCAAUACGGGGACAGCGGCGAAAGGGAGAGGAACACGUGGAUACCUACCCUCAGGUUCAGGAUAGCUAUGGGAAACUAUAGGUAAUACUGAAUAAUAUCUCCGGAUCAAAGGUGUGAUUCCGCCGGAGGAGGGGUCCGCGUCCUAUUAGCUAGUUGGUGAGGUAAUGGCUCACCAAGGCGAAGAUGGGUACGGGAUGUGAGAACAUGAUCCCGCUCAUUGGGACUGAGACACUGCCCAGACACCUACGGGUGGCUGCAGUCGAGAAUCUUCGGCAAUGGGGAAACCCUGACCGAGCGACGCCGCGUGUGAGAUGAAGGCCU
This 371-nucleotide ribosomal RNA is filed under the name uncultured bacterium. RNAcentral's name for it is "bacterial SSU rRNA". It matches the Rfam family "Bacterial small subunit ribosomal RNA", at positions 29 to 417 of the family's 1533-position model. The record is from RNAcentral.